Molecule: ribosomal RNA, 505 nt
Filed under: Tramea binotata
Lineage: Eukaryota; Metazoa; Arthropoda; Insecta; Odonata; Libellulidae
Description: partial large subunit ribosomal RNA
Rfam family: Bacterial large subunit ribosomal RNA
Source: RNAcentral
GUCCUUUUGAAUUUUAUAGAAGGUCUGACCUGCCCAGUGAUAAUUUUAACGGCCGCGGUAUACUGACCGUGCAAAGGUAGCAUAAUCAUUAGUCUUUUAAUAGAGGGCUGGAAUGAAAGGUUUAACGAGGAAUUGACUGUCUCAUUUUAUUUGUUUUAGAACUUAAUUUUUUAGUCAAAAAGCUAAAAUCUUAUUGGAAGACGAGAAGACCCUAUAGAUCUUUAUAAAACUUUAUUUAAUUAUUUUUAUAUCAAUUUAUUUAAAUGAUUUUUUAUUUUGUUGGGGUGACAAAAAUAUAUAUAAAACUUUUUUAUUUAUUUAACAUUAAUUUAUGAUUAUUAGAUCCAUUAUUAGUGAUUGAUAGACUAAGUUACCUUAGGGAUAACAGCGUAAUCCUCCUCCAGAGUUCAUAUUUACAGGAUGGGCUUGCGACCUCGAUGUUGGAUUAAGAUGAUAAUUAGGUGUAGCCGCUUAAUUUAUAGGUCUGUUCGACCUUUAAACUCUU